AGCUCUGUGGUGAAUUAACAUAUUGAAGUGCAAAUUCAAAGAAGCAGCUUCAAUUCAGCCGGGGCUU
Molecule: transfer RNA, 67 nt
Filed under: Oryx gazella (gemsbok)
Lineage: Eukaryota; Metazoa; Chordata; Mammalia; Artiodactyla; Bovidae
Description: tRNA-Cys
Source: RNAcentral